GCAUUGAUAGUGUAGGGGUAUCAUGAGUCGUUGCCACUCAUCGCUUGUACAAGGCGUGAUUACCGAUUCGACUCGACCGGGGUUCGAGUCCCCGUCAAUGCA
This 102-nucleotide transfer RNA is filed under the name Sporisorium reilianum f. sp. reilianum. Its description in RNAcentral is "transfer RNA-Gly(GCC)". The record is from RNAcentral. Lineage: Eukaryota; Fungi; Basidiomycota; Ustilaginomycetes; Ustilaginales; Ustilaginaceae.